GUUGAAGAAAAAAAUUGAGCAAGGAAGUCUUCUAAGUCCCGACGUAAAAGUUGUAAACGGUUAUGUUUAUCGUCGUACCGAGCAUGCUUCGGCUGAGCAAGUUGCUGAUGAAUCAGUUUGGAAACUUUGGCUACCUUCGGAAUUAGUGUCAGUGGCUAUUAAGGCUGCCCAUGACGAUCCUUUAGCUUCUCAUGGCGGAAUAAAUAAAACCUUAGAGCGAAUUCGUCGAUAUUAUUUUUGGCCUAAUCUGGUAACCGAUGUUCGCAAUUAUAUUAACCAAUGCGAGGUCUGCAAAAGCACUAAGCACCCUAACCAAGUGCUUAGACCACCGUUAGCCAAAGUAACGACCAGUAUGCGACUAUUUCAAAGGCUAUACGUGGAUUAUUUGGGUCCUUACCCUCGGACGAAGUCUGGCCACAUUGGCAUAUUCAUAGUCCUUGAUCAUUUUAGCAAAUUUCCUUUUCUAAAAGCAGUAAAAAAAUUUACUGUGGAUGCAAUCGUGCCGUAUAUGGAAGAGUUAUUCCAUUGCUUUGGCGUACCUGAAACUAUCGUAUCCGAUAACGGUGUGCAAUUUAAGUCGCACGCUUUUAACAAUCUGUUAAAUAGCUAUGGAAUUAACCACGCCUACACUGCUUCAUAUGCACCACAAGGAAACGCAUCUGAGCGAGUAAAUCGAUCCGUUCUGGCUGCCAUUAAAGCCUAUGUCCAUCCAAAUCAGACCAACUGGGACGAGAACCUCAGUAAGAUUAGCUGUGCACUUCGCUCAAGUCUUCACACUGCCGUACAGCAAACGCCGUAUCGCCUUGUUUUCGGACAACACAUGAUAACUAAUGGUUCUACAUACGAAUUGUUACGACGAUUGAAUCUGUUAGAAGAUAGAUCCAUUGUAUUUAAUAGGGACGAUUCGUUCGAUAUCAUGAGAGAGCAAGCUAAAGAAAAGGUGGUAAAGCAACAUGCGCGCAACGAAAAGACGUACAACAUGCGUAGUCGAGAAGUAUCGUAUGCGGUAGGUCAAGAAAUUUACCGUAGAAACUUCCAACAGAGCAAUUUUGCAAAAGGUUUCAAUGCCAAGUUAGCUCCAGCCUUCUUAAAAGCUCGAGUGAGAAGAAAACUAGGCUCGGCAUAUUAUGAGCUUGAGGAUUUACAAGGACGAAUUGUUGGAAAAUUUCAUGCGAAGGAUCUUAAACAAUAGUUUCCGCUCCAAGCGUGGAUCACCCUUGAUUGUCUAAUCAAGCGUGAUUUUAGUGGGGGGGAUUUGAAGUGUCGCUUGUCACAGUUUUGGGUUAGUCCGAAAGUAGCAUUAUCGGGGUUAGGAACUUGCUUUAAGUAGGGCCACCUACCCAUUAACCUAUCAAUGCAGUUUGGGUUCUAUCGAAAUUGCAAGCUUACACUGUAAUAGAUAAGAAAACGCAACCUGGGCAUACUAGUGAACGCCAUGCCGGUCGUUCUCUUUCCGUUUUAACCUUGGAGGUGAUCAGACGUACAGGUGCGACCAACCAAAAAAAAAAAAAAAAAAAAAAAAACACACCCACGUUUUCUUUAUAAUUUUUUUUUGUAUUUCGAUAUUCUUCGUACCCAAGCCCAGAUUAGAAAUCCCACCAACUGUAUUUAAAUUUGGGGUUAUUUCGGUGCCAGAUCAAAGGUUCUGGCACCUUGUGCUACCCACAAGCAACCGCCGGCUCCAAGCCGUACCACCAGAGCAGCACGUCCAGCAGAGUAGCCGAUGCACAUCGAUCAUCAGAACAUCUCUUUUGGCCGAAGCCAUCGGUGUUCAAGUGUUAUUAGUGUGAAUUAAUCUACCCCCCGCAAAAGUUCAGUGAAAAACAAAACCUGUAGCGAAAAACGAAAAAAAAAGGGAAAACAAAAGCCCUCACAUUAAGCGGUUCAAUUUUUUUUUGGUUAUAACACGAGGUGGCUACACGGUGACAAACUAAUGGUUUUACCGCACGCAUUACCAAACAUGUGCUAAUACACUAAUAAAAUAAUUGGACACCAACGAUCGCCAAAACAAAAAAAAUGAAUUCAAUUUAAAACGUUACGAAAACUACGAGUUUACUAUACCCGAGAAAGAAAAAAAAAGGAAAUUAUAUAUAUUUUAAAUAUAGAAUAAAUUAAAUUAUAGAUAGAUUAAAUUAAAUUAAAUAAAUAAAAAAGAGGUAAAAAGUGAAAGUCAGUGGUGGAAAGAUUUGGCCAUGCCAGCUAGAAAAAAAAAUAAAAUAAAAAAAAACUUUUUAAAUAAAUAGUAAUAUAGAAAAAUAAUUAAAAUUAAAAACAUAAUGGGUUAAUCAUACUCCAGCCAUUCAUCCAACGCAAUACCUCAAUAAUAUAUAUAUAUCCAUACACAACUUUUUCCGCAAACAUUUAUCAAGACCAAAACAUGAAACAAUAAGAAGAAAUUCGCCGGAGAAAGUACUUUCGCCGUGGGAGAAAAUAACAUGUAAGUUAUAUCUCAAAAUUUGUCUCUAUUAAUUGCAACGAUAUAUUAUUUAAAAAAAGGCAUUGCAUUUUUGGGGGAUGGCUCUUUCAGUCUUUAAAUUUUACAGUUUUAUAUAUUAAAUCUAUUCUUUCUUUUGAUCGCCUAAUUCGUCGCGAAACCCAAAACCCAGGCUUGACCUACGACAACAUGUUAUUGCAUGGUACAGUCGAGGAUCGAAAUAUUGUGUACACCGAGCCUCUCUCGUGUAUAGGUACAGUCGAGGACCGAAAUAUUGGGUACGCCGGUAGUAAAUUGAAAAUAUUUUAAUUUUUUUUCUUCUUAUCGAAUUAUAUUACAUUUAUAUUAUAUUAAUACCUAUGCGAAUGGUAUAGGUGGUUUUGAAACAUAUUUUCUUUUCAGCCACUGUAUUUUCACUCAUACUUACAUAUGUAUAUACAACGACUAUUACAAUGAAUAAAUAAUUUAGGAAUAAUUUCUUUUGCAUUAAUAAUUAAAAUAGGAUAAAACUAUAUAUAUAUAAUAUAAUAAUGAUAAAAUAAUAAUCGCCCAUGAUAACAAGUAAAAGAACCAAAAUAAGGUUAGGUAAUUUCUU
This is a long non-coding RNA of Drosophila santomea, 3029 nucleotides long. RefSeq lists it as uncharacterized. The record is from RefSeq and is a predicted model, not a curated record. The transcript has 3 exons. Lineage: Eukaryota; Metazoa; Arthropoda; Insecta; Diptera; Drosophilidae.